Molecule: ribosomal RNA, 1680 nt
Filed under: Triticum aestivum (bread wheat)
Lineage: Eukaryota; Viridiplantae; Streptophyta; Magnoliopsida; Poales; Poaceae
Description: partial small subunit ribosomal RNA
Source: RNAcentral
AUGGCCGCGGCCGGCGCCUUCUCCCCCCUCUCCGGCACCCUCCUCCGCCGCCGCAUACCCCUCCACCAUCACCGCCGCUUCCUCUCCAUUGCAGCCGCUGCCUCGGAAGCCCCCGCGCCUGCCCCCGCCCCGUCCCAGCCGCCGCCGCCGCCGCCGCGUCCUCGCGGGAAGGGGUACUUCCCCAAGAAGAACGAGAUCCUCGAGCUGACAUGCGAGGGGCUCGCCUUCAAGGGGAAGGGCGUCUGCAAGGUCGACGGCUCCUCCUUCGUCCUGCUCUGCGACGGCGCUCUCCCCGGCGAGCGCCUCGUGGCUCGCGUCCGUCGCCUCCGCCGCGGCGCCUUCGCCGAGGCCUCCAAGCUAAAGACCCUCUCGCCCCACCACGACGCCGUCGAGGCCCCCUGCCCCCUCGCCGCCGACUGCGGCGGCUGCAAGAGCCAGUCCCUCGCCUACUCUGCGCAAAUCCACCACAAGUACGUCCAGGUCCGCGACUUGCUGGUAAAUUUCGGCAAGUUUGACCCCAGAAAGCUGGAGAGCUCGGAUUCAGAUGCCAUCCUUAAGCCCAUCGUGCCGUGCGAUGAGAUAUUUCGAUACAGGAACAAGAUGGAGUUCUCGUUUGGGACGAAGAGGUGGAUGAAAAGGGAGUGGAAGGAGGAGAAAGAGGAGGUGUCUAAGGGGGAAGAGGUGGAGACUGAUGGUUAUUCACUUGGACUCCAUGCACCAGGGUUCUUUGACAAGGUGCUUCAUGUUGAGACGUGCUUGCUGCAUAGUGAGCCGGCAGAUCAGGUUCUUGCAGUUGUUCAAGGAAGUUGGACGGAUCCGGCUCUUGGCCUCACGCCUUACGAUGUCUACAAGCACACUGGGUUUCUCAAGCAUCUAAUGAUACGAACUGGAAGAAAUGUCAGCACUGGAGCUCCAGAAUUGAUGGUCAAUUUUGUGACAUCAUGUUAUAAACCUGAGCUACUGGUGCCUCUUGUGGAUAGAAUCACAAAAAUAUCUGAAGUGGUAAGUGUCGUAAAUAAUGUGAAUACAUCUGUUGGCAAUACAUCCGUGGGUGAGCAAGAAUAUACCUUGUACGGGAAACCGACCAUUACAGAGAUGUUGAGAGGACUUACAUUCCAGAUAUCUGCCAACUCCUUUUUCCAGACUAAUACAAAACAGGCUGAUGUUCUUUAUAAGCUUAUUGAAGAUUCUGCUGGGCUUAAAGGAGAUGGCUCUGAGAUUGUUCUUGACUUGUUUUGUGGAACUGGAACCAUUGGGCUGACUCUUGCUAGAAGUGCAAAGCAUGUUUAUGGAUAUGAAGUUGUCCCUGAAGCCAUCGCGGAUGCCCAAAAGAAUGCUCAGUUGAAUGGUAUUAGUAAUGCUACAUUUGUUCAGGGAGACCUUAACAAAAUCAGCGAAACAUUUGGCAAGGAAUUUCCAAAGCCUGACAUAAUCAUAUCAGAUCCUAAUCGGCCAGGGAUGCACAUGAAGUUAAUCAAGUGGCUGCUAGAAGUCAAAGCCCCUCGAAUAGUGUACGUCUCUUGUAAUCCAGCUACUUGUGCACGGGAUUUGGACUACCUAUGUCAUGGCGUGGAAGAGAAAGGCCUGAGUGGGUGCUACGAGCUGAAGCGUGUAAUACCUGUCGAUAUGUUUCCCCACACUCCUCAUAUUGAGUGUGUGUGCUUAUUGGAGCUGUGCUGA